Molecule: ribosomal RNA, 497 nt
Filed under: uncultured bacterium
Lineage: Bacteria
Description: partial 16S ribosomal RNA
Rfam family: Bacterial small subunit ribosomal RNA
Source: RNAcentral
GAUGAACGCUGGCGGCGUGCCUAAUACAUGCAAGUCGAGCGAACAGACGAGGAGCUUGCUCCUCUGACGUUAGCGGCGGACGGGUGAGUAACACGUGGAUAACCUACCUAUAAGACUGGGAUAACUUCGGGAAACCGGAGCUAAUACCGGAUAAUAUAUUGAACCGCAUGGUUCAAUAGUGAAAGACGGUUUUGCUGUCACUUAUAGAUGGAUCCGCGCCGCAUUAGCUAGUUGGUAAGGUAACGGCUUACCAAGGCAACGAUGCGUAGCCGACCUGAGAGGGUGAUCGGCCACACGGGAACUGAGACACGGUACCGACUCCUACGGGAGGCAGCAGUAGGGAAUCUUCCGCAAUGGGCGAAAGCCUGACGGAGCAACGCCGCGUGAGUGAUGAAGGUCUUCGGAUCGUAAAACUCUGUUAUUAGGGAAGAACAAAUGUGUAAGUAACUAUGCACGUCUUGACGGUACCUAAUCAGAAAGCCACGGCUAACUACGUG